GUACACACCGACAAACCACACAACACGCAAAGAAGCAUCCUCUUCACAUUACAACCAAAUCUGAUAUUCGAAACCAAACCCGGAUGCGCUCGUUCACAGAACUCUCAGAACUAUCGCCGUGAAACCCAAAGUGGGGACGUCCACGCUCUUAUUUGCCAGGUUUCACCGUGGCGAGAGAGACAGGUCUGGACAGAGGCCACAGCAGACGCGCGUCUUCCAUAAGUGGACAUCACGGCUGGGUGGACAGAAGCGGGAGGCGACGACAGCUCCGGGGGCGGAGAGGUGGCCCCUCGCCGCCACGUGAAACCACGUCCCUCAAACCGGCUCAGAAAAGACGAGACGGCUGGAAGGGAACUCUCCUUGUGCAACCUUAAGGCUGCAGCCUUAAUGCCUUGAGUCACCACACGGCCGCUUGGUUCCGGUUAGUGUCCUCACUGUGGCAGGGAUGUUAGCCAGACGAAGGGGCUUUGCUGGUGACUCACCUGAUUCAAGGCCAUCUGCCCGGGGGAGGAGGGGGGGAGACCACAAAAAGACCACAACACACAACACCCGCAGAUGAAUAGAUAUAUCACCUCGCAGAUCCAGUUACGACGAGUCAACAAUGGACACAAAAGGCUCAAUGUACACGCCGGAUCAAAAAGAGCCUUCAGAUAAUGGGUCCAGAACGCUGCAGGUCUGCCCAGAACCUCUGUGGGCGAGGACAAUGCCGGCAUGGAUCUGGAUACGGUGACGUCUCCUAUUGCUCCCCGUCCCCACUCCCAAGAAGAAAAAUCCCCAUUUGAGACAAAGACGUUUGUCAAGGUCCCGUCACAGGAAAAGGGGGAUUUGAAGAUUUUCAAAAGCAGAGGCUGACAGUUCAGAUGUGGUGGAGCCUUUGCCUGGUGACACAUGGAGAUAAUAACCGUGGCAGUGACUCAAGAGUCAAAUACCAACAUUUUUCACAAAGCCAUGGUGGAAGAAGUCAUACAUUGUCACUUUAAUCACCUUCUAAACCUCGGGUAUGUCGUUUUUUUGUGGAGAAGAAAAGUCUCCACUGCUGUGGAAGACGACCGGCAAGC
Gasterosteus aculeatus aculeatus (three-spined stickleback) is the source of this 1058-nucleotide long non-coding RNA. NCBI's taxonomy places the organism in Eukaryota, Metazoa, Chordata, Actinopteri, Perciformes, Gasterosteidae. The record is from Ensembl.